CGGGAGUCUGAGGAAUUCGCCUGGGC
Molecule: non-coding RNA, 26 nt
Filed under: Homo sapiens (human)
Lineage: Eukaryota; Metazoa; Chordata; Mammalia; Primates; Hominidae
Source: RNAcentral